This 74-nucleotide transfer RNA is filed under the name Anaerolineae bacterium. Its description in RNAcentral is "tRNA-Arg". It matches the Rfam family "tRNA". From Rfam's summary of the family: Transfer RNA (tRNA) molecules are approximately 80 nucleotides in length. Their secondary structure includes four short double-helical elements and three loops (D, anti-codon, and T loops). Further hydrogen bonds mediate the characteristic L-shaped molecular structure. tRNAs have two regions of fundamental functional importance: the anti-codon, which is responsible for specific mRNA codon recognition, and the 3' end, to which the tRNAs corresponding amino acid is attached (by aminoacyl-tRNA synthetases). tRNAs cope with the degeneracy of the genetic code in two manners: having more than one tRNA (with a specific anti-codon) for a particular amino acid; and 'wobble' base-pairing, i.e. permitting non-standard base-pairing at the 3rd anti-codon position. Lineage: Bacteria; Bacillati; Chloroflexota; Anaerolineae. The record is from RNAcentral.
GCCCCAGUAGCUCAAAUGGAUAGAGCAACUCCCUCCUAAGGAGUAGGUUGGCGGUUCGAGUCCGUUCUGGGGCA